Molecule: non-coding RNA, 86 nt
Organism: Xylariaceae sp. FL0594
Lineage: Eukaryota; Fungi; Ascomycota; Sordariomycetes; Xylariales; Xylariaceae
Source: the annotation of a GenBank genome assembly
UCUUGAAUGGUCUAGUGGUAAGGAUACCUGCUUGUCAUCAGCAAGGCAAUACGCAGGUGGCCGGGGUUCGAUUCCCCGUUCGAGAG